UACGUAGGGGGCUAGCGUUGUCCGGAAUCAUUGGGCGUAAAGCGCGUGUAGGCGGCCCGGUAAGUCCGCUGUGAAAGUCGGGGGCUCAACCCUCGAAUGCCGGUGGAUACUGUCGGGCUAGAGUGCGGAAGAGGCGAGUGGAAUUCCGUGGUGUAGCGGUGAAAUGCGCAGAUAUCAGGAGGAACACCGGUGGCGAAGGCGGCUUGCUGGGCCAGUUCUGACGCUGAGGGGCGAAAGCGUGGGGGAGCGAACAGG
This 255-nucleotide ribosomal RNA is filed under the name uncultured bacterium. RNAcentral's name for it is "partial 16S ribosomal RNA". It matches the Rfam family "Bacterial small subunit ribosomal RNA", at positions 524 to 776 of the family's 1533-position model. The record is from RNAcentral.